Molecule: non-coding RNA, 31 nt
Filed under: Rattus norvegicus (Norway rat)
Lineage: Eukaryota; Metazoa; Chordata; Mammalia; Rodentia; Muridae
Source: RNAcentral
UAAGCUAAUCACUCUCAUGUUUAUGAGGCCG